Molecule: long non-coding RNA, 493 nt
Organism: Camelina sativa (false flax)
Lineage: Eukaryota; Viridiplantae; Streptophyta; Magnoliopsida; Brassicales; Brassicaceae
Source: RefSeq, a predicted model, not a curated record
UGUAACGUUCCUCCUUCUCUCUCACCAUUACACACUUGCCGUCGUAAGCCGCAACGUUCCAGCUGUACCUAAUCCUCUCUCCCUUCUCAUACCGCUUCAUUAAUUCCACUUGCGAUCGUCUGUCAGAAUACUCUCAAGGGCAUAAAUGAAAAUGAAUUCCUCUCAAGGGCAUCUCCCAAAGGUGGAGAUGUGAAGCAAAUGGGAUCCGUGUCCAGAUAAGUAUUCAUAUUUGAAUUUUUCCGAUAUAUAGGAUUUGAGUGAUAUAUAGCAUUGCAUCAUCGCCAGAGACUUGAGAUCCAGUCUGAAAAGAAUCUCAUCGAGGAUAUUGAAAGGCGUAAAGAAACUUGGUUGACACGACAUACAAAAAAAAGAAAGAAGACACUAUUACUAAUUGAAAGGUUUCCUUUUGUAUUCUCUACCAUUGAGACAUGAAUUGUAAGUUUUUCUUUUGUAUUCUCUUGUUCAUUCGGAGGAAGGUUAAAAAAAAAACUCA